RNAcentral lists this transfer RNA (73 nucleotides) under Sandaracinaceae bacterium. RNAcentral describes it as "tRNA-Glu". It matches the Rfam family "tRNA". Rfam says of the family: Transfer RNA (tRNA) molecules are approximately 80 nucleotides in length. Their secondary structure includes four short double-helical elements and three loops (D, anti-codon, and T loops). The record is from RNAcentral. RNAcentral also lists the same sequence under 1 other name. Lineage: Bacteria; Pseudomonadati; Myxococcota; Polyangiales; Sandaracinaceae.
GGCCCCAUCGUCUAGCGGUUCAGGACGGCGGCCUCUCACGCCGCAGACCGGAGUUCGAGUCUCCGUGGGGUCA